Molecule: long non-coding RNA, 823 nt
Filed under: Brassica napus (rape)
Lineage: Eukaryota; Viridiplantae; Streptophyta; Magnoliopsida; Brassicales; Brassicaceae
Description: long non-coding RNA (BNAP_LNC017554)
Source: RNAcentral
GUCAUGACAUCAAACCUGUCAUCCCUUAUUUCUCCUGAGUCUGUUCCUCUGAAACCUCUAACUCAGACAUCCAUGACGAUUCCUCAAAGGUAAACUCACACACGCUUCUCCUAGCUAUGGUGGUGAACAAUGCUUCCUGAACAAGCGUCGCUCAACCUGUUCUACCAGAUUCUUCCUGCACAUUUUCCUCUGCUUUUGACCAGAAUCUCCAAGCAAACUCUAACCUUGAAUUGCCUUCUCCCAUGGUUUUUACUUGUCACUCACACGACCUCACCAGACUACUACAGAUUGUUACAAAAAAUUGUCAUUUGCUCCAACAUAUACCUGUGUAGGCCUUUACACAAUUUUCCAUUGCUCUAGUUCUUUCUACGUGGAGAUACAACAUGUUUCUAUCAACCAGAAACAUUACAUCUCAUGUACCCAAUAAGAUUCACUCAUAUUCUUGUGCUGACUCAAAACAGAAUGCCAUAUGUUUUGUCACAUUAUUGCCACAAGAAAUCAACAUGUGCUGCUACAAGCUCCAUUGUGAUCUUGAUCAUCCCUUGAGCUUCCUUUUAACCACAAGAACCUGAUCCUUAACCUCUCUGUGACCGAACCUGCAACCCUGCAACUCAAAUUUAAUUGAACCGGAUUUGAAGCCUCAAAGUACCAACACACUGUCUCGUUCCAAACCUGAUCAACGCCUCCUCACAUUGAACACUUCUCUGCAACUUUCUGUUCACACCUGAACCUUGGAACCACUGAUCAAAAUCCGAAUAGCCUCUGAACACACAUACCAUUUUCAACUUCUAAGGCGUCCCCUAGACCUGAGAUAACAGAGUGU